CCGGCCCUGCCCACUACGCUGGUUUUUCUGGUUGUCUCGGUUGCUGGGUGUGUUACUGGACCCGCGAAUUUAAAGAAGCUUCUGGUCCUGACUUUCAGGGGCUACCAAUACUUCACUAUUUUUCAAGUGCCAGUCCCUGAUAGGUGCGAGCCGGUUCUGCUUCCUGGAGAGGAGGAGACGUCUCCUUAAAGAAGAAAGGCACUGAUCAGCUGGGCAGGAUUUUACCUCAACUCCGAAAAUAGGUCUGGAACGGCCUAGGGACCUGGUGCUCCGUGCAGACUUGUUCGCACCACUGGGGAGCUCACACCCUGAUGGGAAACUUGCAGUCUACUCAAGGUACUUGAAUAUAGAAUUGUGCCCAGAAAGCGGAGAAGAUGAGCUUUUGACCCAACCUGAGAUUCCAGCAAUGGGAGAUCGGACUCUAUUUAGGGCGUCUACAGAGACAGGAUAAGAGAAAAUCAUAAAGAUACUAUUCUAAGUACGUUCAUACUGGGCCCUGAGGCAACCAGGGUGGUUAGGAUUUAGAAUUAUGUUUUGAGGAUCUCGAGUGGCCUUCAACAGAGUUAACUAGGACUGUGACUUGGUCAGAUUUAAAUUUUUAAAGAUGGCUCUGAGGUCUGGGGGAAGGGAAGAGGACAAGUUCAUGACUUCACUCUAAUUUAUUUCUGCAAACUAUUUUUGAGCCCUUUUUGUGUAUAAAAGCCUGCCCAAAGUGUAGAGGCUUACAGAGGCAAAAAUACGUUGUCUCUAUAUGAUUUAAAACCUAAUGAGGGUUGGGCAAGAGAACAGCAAACUAACACUGUAGAAUUAAAUUGAUUCUGCAAGGAAAACUCAAUAGCUGUGGGAACUCUGAAAGAAAUAAUUAAUUCUGAGGGUAAGGUCGGGUAAGGAGAUGGGGGAGAUUUCACAGAGAAGGAAGCAUUCGAACCAACUCUGAAGAAGUAAAAUUUUGUCUGUUAGUGUUGGGAGCAGAAGGCGGGAGGUUGGGUAGUGGUGAGGGAAGCUGGUAGGACAGGAUAUGUGUGCCAGACACUGAGGAAUCAGCAGGCUAGGGCUCCUGUGUGAGGGGAGGGGUUAGAAGAACAAACAAUAAACAAAUAGCAAAAAAAAAAAAAGGAUUUCUAAACAAGAAAUAAUUAGAAAGUGACAGGUGCUAUACAUUGAAAUUAAAAUGGAACAAUGCUUUGCAACCUCCAGUCCAAUUGAAUCUAUUUUCAAUCUCAGAUCUUGCUUUUUCAGUUUUGUACUUCUUCCCCCACCCUCAUGCUGUCCUCUAAUUGAAGGCUACUUUUUUGAAGAUGGUACUUCCUCCAGGACUUUACAGACCUUCUUCCCCCGUCAAGCCUAUGUUAGAGACUGCUUCUGAUCCAUAGGAACCUACACUUUUCCACUGACGAUGAGUUGGUCUCUAUAAACUCUUCUCGCCUGUUUAUUCUGAUGACAUCAGUUACCAUGCUGUAAAGUGCCCAGUGGAGAGGCCCAUGUGGCAAGAAACUGAAGGAGGCCUCAGGCCAAAAGCCAGUUAAAGAAAUGAGGCCCUCAGCCCAACAGCCUGUGAGAAACUAAAUCUUCCAAUACCCCUUAAGUGCACCUGAAAGCAGAUCCUCCUAAGUGGAGUUGUGAGGUGACUGCAGCCCCAGCCAACAACUGACCAUGACCUAUGAGAGAUCCUGAGCCAGAGGGCUCAGUUAAGCCGCUGGAUUUCUGACCACAGAAAAUGUGUGACAAUAAAUAUUUGUUGUUUUGCCCUAAA
Molecule: long non-coding RNA, 1753 nt
Organism: Myotis davidii
Lineage: Eukaryota; Metazoa; Chordata; Mammalia; Chiroptera; Vespertilionidae
Exons: 2
Source: RefSeq, a predicted model, not a curated record